GAUGAACGCUGGCGGCGUGCCUAAUACAUGCAAGUCGAGCGAACGGACGAGAAGCUUGCUUCUCUGAUGUUAGCGGCGGACGGGUGAGUAACACGUGGAUAACCUACCUAUAAGACUGGGAUAGCUUCGGGAAACCGUAGCUGAUACCGGAUAAUAUUUUGAACCGCAUGGUUCAAAAGUGAAAGACGGUCUUGCUGUCACUUAUAGAUGGAUCCGCGCUGCAUUAGCUAGUUGGUAAGGUAACGGCUUACCAAGGCAACGAUGCAUAGCCGACCUGAGAGGGUGAUCGGCCACACUGGAACUGAGACACGGUCCAGACUCCUACGGGAGGCAGCAGUAGGGAAUCUUCCGCAAUGGGCGAAAGCCUGACGGAGCAACGCCGCGUGAGUGAUGAAGGUCUUCGGAUCGUAAAACUCUGUUAUUAGGGAAGAACAUAUGUGUAAGUAACUGUGCACAUCUUGACGGUACCUAAUCAGAAAGCCACGGCUAACUACGUG
Molecule: ribosomal RNA, 497 nt
Filed under: uncultured bacterium
Lineage: Bacteria
Description: partial 16S ribosomal RNA
Rfam family: Bacterial small subunit ribosomal RNA
Source: RNAcentral